ACGAUGUCUACUAGCCGUUGGGGCCUUUGAGGCUUUAGUGGCGCAGCUAACGCGAUAAGUACACCGCCUGGGGAGUACGGUCGCAAGACUAAAACUCAAAUGAAUUGACGGGGGCCCGCACAAGCGGUGGAGCAUGUGGUUUAAUUCGAUGCAACGCGAAGAACCUUACCUGGCCUUGACAUACUACAAACUUUCCAGAGAUGGAUUGGUGCCUUCGGGAAUCUAGAUACAGGUGCUGCAUGGCUGUCGUCAGCUCGUGUCGUGAGAUGUUGGGUUAAGUCCCGCAACGAGCGCAACCCUUUUCCUUACUUGCCAGCAUUUCGGAUGGGAACUUUAAGGAUACUGCCAGUGACAAACUGGAGGAAGGUGGGGAUGACGU
RNAcentral lists this ribosomal RNA (379 nucleotides) under Acinetobacter baumannii. RNAcentral's name for it is "bacterial SSU rRNA". It matches the Rfam family "Bacterial small subunit ribosomal RNA", at positions 806 to 1185 of the family's 1533-position model. Lineage: Bacteria; Pseudomonadati; Pseudomonadota; Gammaproteobacteria; Moraxellales; Moraxellaceae. The record is from RNAcentral.